AGAGUUUGAUCCUGGCUCAGAAAUGAACGCUGGCGGCGUGCUUAACACAUGCAAAGUCGAAACGAGAAAAGUUUCCUUCGGGGAAGCGAGUAGAGUGGCGCACGGGUGAGUAACACGUGGGUAAUCUACCCCUCAAUUUGGGAUAACAUUGCGAAAGCGAUGCUAAUACCGAAUAACAUCCAUAAUACUUUGGUAUAGUGACCAAAGGUGGCCAAUCCUUGGAAGCUACUGUUGGGGGAUGAGCCUGCGUACCAUUAGCUAGUUGGCGAGGUAACGGCUCACCAAGGCUACGAUCGGUAGCUGGUCUGAGAGGAUGAUCAGCCACACUGGAACUGGAACACGGUCCAGACUCCUACGGGAGGCAGCAGUGAGGAAUAUUGCGCAAUGGGGGAAACCCUGACGCAGCAACGCCGCGUGAGUGAUGAAGGCUUUCGGGUCGUAAAGCUCUGUCAGAGGGGAAGAAAUGUAUGGGAUGCUAAUACCAUCUUUACUUGACGGUACCCUCAAAGGAAGCACCGGCUAACUCCGUGYCAGCMGCCGCGGUAAUA
RNAcentral lists this ribosomal RNA (548 nucleotides) under bacterium enrichment culture clone Cont86_3130. RNAcentral's name for it is "bacterial SSU rRNA". It matches the Rfam family "Bacterial small subunit ribosomal RNA", at positions 8 to 525 of the family's 1533-position model. The record is from RNAcentral.